UACAGAGGUGGCAAGCGUUGUUCGGAAUUACUGGGCGUAAAGGGCUCGUAGGCGGUCUGUCGCGUCGGGAGUGAAAACUCAGGGCUUAACCCUGAGCCUGCUUCCGAUACGGGCAGACUAGAGGUAUGCAGGGGAGAACGGAAUUCCUGGUGUAGCGGUGAAAUGCGCAGAUAUCAGGAGGAACACCGGUGGCGAAGGCGGUUCUCUGGGCAUUACCUGACGCUGAGGAGCGAAAGUGUGGGGAGCGAACAGG
Molecule: ribosomal RNA, 253 nt
Filed under: uncultured bacterium
Lineage: Bacteria
Description: partial 16S ribosomal RNA
Rfam family: Bacterial small subunit ribosomal RNA
Source: RNAcentral